GGAUUUUGAGACUUUGAGUUGUUUAACUUGGCUUUGCUAGCCCGACAAGUGUGGAGAAUCUUGCAAACACCAGAGACCCUAAGUGCGAGAAUUAUCAAGCCUGUCUACUAUCCAGACACCGAUAUACUGCAUGCAACACUUGGUUCAUCACCGUAUGCACCACCCCAGUUAGUAUCUGAACUGAUCAAUGCAACAACAGGUUGGUGGGACAGGGCCGAGCUUAGUAGGCAUUUCUUGACCAUGGACGUCAAGGCAAUUUCAACGAUUCCCAUCAGAACAGUCCAGCAAGAGGAUUUUUGGGCAUGGCAUCAUGAGAAUACAGACGUCUUCUCGGUAAGAUCUUGUUAUCGCAUGUUGAUCACAACUAAGAAAGUACGGGAAGACUGGUUGGAAGGUAGACCAAGUUCGAGCUCAACCCGGUUAGAGAAGGCCUGAACAACGCUAUGAAAGAUUAAAGUCCCAUCCAAAGUCCGGGUUUUUGUUUGGCGCUUGGCUCAGUGAUCUAUGCCUUCUGGUGUCGAGCUACACCAUAGACAUAUGGCAACAACACCGAGAUGUGAGCUAUGUGGGGUAGAAAAUGAUACAUGGCGUCAUUCCCUCCUUGAUUGCACCAUGGUGAGGUGUGUAUGGGCGCUCAUUGACGAAUCACUUACAGAACAUAUGAGCUUGUUGAACAGUCCGGAUGCCAAGGAGUGGUUGUUCCAUAUGCUAGAAUCGGUGCCGCAUGUAGACUUUACAAAGUUGAUCAUCACAUUGUGGGUGAUCUCGGGUGUUAGAAGGAAAGCAACCCAUGAGGCAAUCUUCCAAAGCCCAGAAGUUAUUCAUGGAUUCAUUAUGAGGUAUCUAGCUGAUUUGGAGAUCGUCGAAAAUACUACACAGAAGCAGGUGAAGGUAGGGCAUCGACACGUACGUGUACAGAAGUGGAUUCCACCGAUGGGAGGUAUGGUCAAGAUAAAUGUUGAUGGUGGCAUUGCCAAGAACUGCAACAAGGGCGGGGUGGCGGCCCUAUGCCGGGACGACCAGGGUAUCUACCUCGGCUCGUCAGCACGCAUAAUUGACGUGUGCGAUGAUCCGUGCACGCUGGAAGCUAUGGCAUGCCUGGAGGCAUUAUCUCUUGAAACUGACCUGAACCUAAACCGGAACAUCAUUGCAUGCGACUCAGAAUCGGUGGUGAAGCACAUUAACGAAGGCAGCAGGUGCGCCUAUAGCUCCAUUCUACGAGAGAUCAAUAUACGACGACAGGAGUUUGAAGAGGCUCGAAUAAUUCAUGAAGGAAGAACAUCCAAUAUGAAAGCUCAUAAUUUUAUAAAGAGUGUGCUAUUUUAG
RNAcentral lists this ribosomal RNA (1326 nucleotides) under Triticum aestivum (bread wheat). RNAcentral describes it as "partial small subunit ribosomal RNA". Lineage: Eukaryota; Viridiplantae; Streptophyta; Magnoliopsida; Poales; Poaceae. The record is from RNAcentral.